CGUUGAGGUGGUUCCGUAAGUUGGGCGUUAAAGCCCCGGGCUCAACCCGGGAGGCCGUUCAAUACUGCGGGACUUGAGGGCAGCAGAGGGAGGUGGAAUUCCCGGUGUAGUGGUGAAAUGCGUAGAUAUCGGGAGGAACACCAGUGGCGAAGGCGGCCUCCUGGGCUGUCCCUGACACUGAAGGCGAAAGCUAGGGGAGCGAACG
This 205-nucleotide ribosomal RNA is filed under the name uncultured bacterium. RNAcentral's name for it is "partial 16S ribosomal RNA". It matches the Rfam family "Bacterial small subunit ribosomal RNA", at positions 568 to 774 of the family's 1533-position model. The record is from RNAcentral.